AGGGUGUAAACGCUGCAGACUUGGUGUUGGAAAUCCUUCGAGGGUAUUCAGUGCCGGAGAGAAGUUGUUAAGUCUGCUACUUGGGGAGUACGUCCGCAAGGAUGAACUUAAGGAAUUGGCGGGGGAGCACCGCAACGGGAGGAGCGUGCGGUUUAAUUGGAUUCAACACCGGAAAACUCACCAGGGAGACUGUUACAUGAAACCCAGACUAAUGAUCUUGGUUGAUUUUUCAGAGAGGAGGUGCAUGGCGUCAGUGACU
Molecule: ribosomal RNA, 259 nt
Filed under: uncultured archaeon
Lineage: Archaea
Description: partial 16S ribosomal RNA
Rfam family: Archaeal small subunit ribosomal RNA
Source: RNAcentral